This 387-nucleotide ribosomal RNA is filed under the name uncultured bacterium. RNAcentral describes it as "bacterial SSU rRNA". It matches the Rfam family "Bacterial small subunit ribosomal RNA", at positions 85 to 507 of the family's 1533-position model. The record is from RNAcentral.
CAGCAAGGGAGCGGCAGACGGGUGAGUAACGCGUGGGAACCUGCCCAGGGGUACGGAAUAACUCAUGGAAACGUGAGCUAAUACCGUAUGUGUCCUGUGGGAGAAAGAUUUAUCGCCCUUGGAUGGGCCCGCGUUGGAUUAGCUUGUUGGUGGGGUAAUGGCCUACCAAGGCGACGAUCCAUAGCUGUUCUGAGAGGAAGAUCAGCCACACUGGGACUGAGACACGGCCCAGACUCCUACGGGAGGCAGCAGUGGGGAAUCUUGGACAAUGGGCGCAAGCCUGAUCCAGCCAUGCCGCGUGAGUGAUGAAGGCCCUAGGGUUGUAAAGCUCUUUCACCGGUGACGAUAAUGAUGGUAGCCGGAGAAGAAGCCCCGGCUAACUUCGUG